Daucus carota subsp. sativus is the source of this 1903-nucleotide long non-coding RNA. RefSeq lists it as uncharacterized. The record is from RefSeq and is a predicted model, not a curated record. Lineage: Eukaryota; Viridiplantae; Streptophyta; Magnoliopsida; Apiales; Apiaceae. The transcript has 5 exons.
UAAUCAAAUUUAUGAUUACCAUCUUCUUUAUCUUCUUUAUUAUAUUAUAUUUAUAUAAAGGAGGUUCUUCCAAAGCUUACGUGGCAUGUCUCAAACUCCUCUAAUCAGAUUCUGUGAUUUCCUAGCUUUUUACAAAAUCCUACGCUCAAUUUUCUCAUCCUUCAGCUUAGAUUUCUAGACUUUAAUAUUAAUAAAUAAAUCCUUUUCUCAGAGCUGAUAAACGUAAAGGGCUAAUGAAAGGGUAAAUGUCUCUUUACUAUCCCUGGUUAAAUUUCGCCUCUUUUAGUAAUCAUAUAUAACUAGCUACAAUUACUGCGAGCAAGUUCUCAAAUGAUGCUGAUCAGGCCACCCAAUAGCACCAUGAUGCUCUUGCACCAAUCGAAGGUCGUCCUGCCAUUUCCGGGCGCCUGAAAUAUAGUACCCUCGCCUGCCGAAGGAGGCUGAUAGAGACAACAGAAAUAGAAAGCGCUCUUCUCUCUGCAGCCGCUCUCUCUUCGUUUUUUCAAGUUGGAAUGAAUGAAAGAAGGGAGACAGAGGACCGAUGAUCUAUUAAUGACACAAAAAACUUGUGUAAAUAUAUUUACUCUUCUUCUUCCAUGGUUUGCUCCCGCUUCAAAAACAGAUCCAAUUGAGGAGGAUAAAAAGAUAGCUAGAGCACUAAGGUUUGUAUUGUGCAAAGUAGAAACAGACAAGAUAUCUUUAGUUUUUAUAGAACCACUUUUUUAUCUGUACUUUUCCGAACUUGUGGGAAGUUAUGCAUAUGAAUUAUAUUAUUGAAUGUGAUGUAUGCAACUGAGCAUUUCUUUUAGGUUUUUGAAGACUUCAGCAUUCGUGUUGCACCAUGAUAAAGAAAUUUAGCCUGUAGGUCAUUGCCAACUGUGUUGUUGUAGUAGGAAGACGGAAUCUUAAAGGUUUUAGUAUAUAUAUAUAUCUUUGAAAUCUGACUAUGAGUUUUUUUACCGUUCAUGUAGAAUACAAUUAUUUCUAUCAAGGCAGUUGGAGACCCCUAAAUAGCCAACUUCGUAUUUUGUUGGUAAAGUGAGUGUCUGCAUUUACAUUGCCAUGUUUCAAACAAGAUGUGAAUAUUUUCCUUCCUGUUCUUUUUUCAUACGAUAUGGUUAAUACCCCUUUCCCUUUUGGCAGGAUUUUUUCCUGUUGACUUCCCCAACAGCUUAACUUUACAAUAUAAAUUACUGGAAGUUGUGUGACCCUCCAUUCUGUGCGACGUAGCAUAAGAUAUAGGAUACUGAAAAGGAAAUCUGUCAAUAGAUGAGCAAAUAAGUGCGAAUAAGACUGCAGUAUAGAAUAAAGAGUGAGACUCAAGCUAAAAAUGCAGCUGACAAGAUUUCUUUCAAUGUGGCUAAGCCAGACUCAAAAUAAGCUUUUUCCGCUCUUUUUGACACAUAUACCAGGACGACUUGAUGCAAUUUAUGAGAGACGACGAAGCAUUGAUGAUAAUAAUUCACUUCAAAGGAGCAAGUGGACGGAAAGGAAUUAGCAUGAAACAACUGAACAAUUGGAUGAUAAUAUAUCGAUUCGUAUGGACUGCAAAGACAAUUAUUAUUUUAGUGUAUAUACAUUCAAGGAGCGAAGAGUCUUGGUAUCGUCCUUGAUUGAUACGAAAGAAACUGUCAAUAAAUUCUACAAAAUAUUUAACAUCCUUGUAAGCCUAAUUAUAUUCAUUAUCUGGUGUCUUAUAAUAAAAGUUUCCGGCAUCCAGUUCUUCGUCCUUCUGAGCUCCCAGUUUCUUUUGUGUUUGGAAGCACAUGCAAGAGGAUGUUCGAAGGGAUCAUCUUAUUAUUUGUAGUGCACCCAUUGGUGAUCGAUGCGAAGUUAAUGAUGUUCAGGUUCUUAAAGAGAAAUAGAAUAUAUGUGCAUGCAUGUAUGUGUUUCAUAUGCCUUC